This 597-nucleotide long non-coding RNA is filed under the name Homo sapiens (human). RNAcentral describes it as "non-protein coding lnc-CXCL16-2:1". The record is from RNAcentral. Lineage: Eukaryota; Metazoa; Chordata; Mammalia; Primates; Hominidae.
UUUGUAGGGACUCAAAUCCAGAUUGUUUGUGGAAUGCAUGAAGGAGCUUUAGGAGAAAGAUUGGGCUUCAGGAGUGGAAGCAGAUGAUGGAGGUGAGAAAUGUUCGUGGAGUGAUGCUACCUCCCUCCAGCCCAGCCUGGGGCUUCGGUCAAGCCUCAGGGAGUCCCUGAUGAAUAUCCCAUGAACAGCACUAAGAUGUGGUCCCUAGGACAGGGGCCCACGGCAGCAUGACGUUCUUGCUGCCCAAGCCUCAGCUUCUGUGUUAGAAUGUAGGUACCAGACUCCAGAGACGUCACGUGGCUUGUCUGGUGAGGCCUGCGGUUGUGGCACCGCUGAGCCACAGGAGCAGAUGGCUCGAGCAGCCAUAAGGAGCAGUGGAAAUGAACGCGACUCGGUCACAACAGGUCACAGGUGGUCAUGUGCGUCGGCCGCAACAGGGAAGGGCCUGCCCUGGCUAGCUCCCGUGAGCAUCUGUGUGCAGGCGAGUUAGUUUAGUUACUGUGACCUCUAGAAAUGACUAAGUUCACUUUGUGGCCUUAUCAAGCCUCACCCUUGAGUUUGGACUAAGUCAAGUUUUGAUGUUUACCCUGGAACACA